RNAcentral lists this long non-coding RNA (2306 nucleotides) under Homo sapiens (human). Its description in RNAcentral is "non-protein coding lnc-CHD7-2:1". Lineage: Eukaryota; Metazoa; Chordata; Mammalia; Primates; Hominidae. The record is from RNAcentral.
GGGGUUUCAUCGUGUUAGCCAGGAUGGUCUUGAUCUCCUGAUGCUUGUGAUCCACCUGCCUCUGCCUCUGCCUCCCAAAAUGCUGGGAUUACAGGCGUGAGUAAAGUAUUUUCAAUUCAGUCAGAUACUAAUGGGUAUGAUCGUGUGCCUAGCAUGGAGGAAGCACUGAGGUGCCAAGGGUUCUCCUGGCAUUGCUCCCUGAUGGAAGUUCUGUUCUUCCCUGAGGAGGCUGAGGCCCGGGAGUUGGCAUCAUCCCCAGCAGUAAGUGCAGGAACAGGACUUGAACUCAGGUGGUCUGACUGCAGAAGUCUGUGUAUGUGCUCCUAAAAUACUGUGCUUUUAGGUCUCUGAAAGAAAAUUAUGACAUAAGGAUAACUGAAAGUUCGCUGUUUAUUCCCCUUCAUAACAUCUUAAGUUUGAGGUUGGGAAUUAAGAGAAAGUCUUGAAUUAGAGACUUAGCUCUGGCUAAGGAAAUGAAUCCCACCUACCUCAUUUAAAUUUGGAUUUAUUUUGCCCCACAAGUAUUUCUAUUUUAUAAAGAAAUCAAGUCUUUAAAAAGAAUUUGUCCAAAUAAGUUACAGAGAGAGUAAAUUGCCAGCCUGGUAUUUGAACCCCAAUUGAUGUAACUCCAAAGCCCAGGCUCCUAACCACUAUGCUAGUGUAAUUAACAUUCAUCAGCAACAUUGGGUGCUGUGUGCUAGAGGCUGUGCUGGGAAUAUAGAAAUGAAAGCAAACAGACUAGUCCCCUGCUGUCAUGCAGCUUACAUCCUAGUACGAAGAGAUGCAUAAUAGAAUACAAAUAAAAUGUUUGCAGGGCAAGGAAGACUCUUAAAUAAGGUGAUAGGAUGGCCAGGAAAAAGCUCUCUAUGGAGGAGACAGCUCACACCUGAGUGAUGAGAAGCAGUAGGCAGACUAUAUUCUAGUUGGAGAAUUGUCCAGACAAAAGGAAUGACAAACGCAAAGACCUUGAGCUGGUAAUGAGCUUGGAAUAAGGAGUGGAGAGGCCAUCUGCCUUGAAAAGUUGGGAGGCAUGGUCAGAUUACAUAGGGCCUGGAUGGCUCUGGUGGAGGAUUUGGGUUUCAUGCUGAGUGCUGUAGAAAGUCUUCUGAAGGUUUUAUGCAGAAAAAUGGUCAUUUUCAUGUUUUUAAAGGAUCAUUAUGUCUGCAGUUCAAAAAACUCCCUUGUAAAGGGGAGUCAGCAAUUCUAGCUGGGAGAUGGCUGUAGCAACCUUGGGUCAAGUUUAGUGGGCAGUAAUGGAGAAGGAAAGCCAUGGAUGGACUUGGGAUAUGUUUUGAAGAGGUAGACCCUCCAAUUUAAAUGAACUUUUCAGUGAAUAAUUUGUAUUAAUUCUUCAGGACUACUACUAAAAACUAACAGAUAAAGAAUGUUCACCAUGCUAAUUUUUUUAAAUAAGAAUGUUGUGAUUAGUGUUAGAAGAAGAUACUGGGAAAAUAAAUUUUUCCAUCAUGUACAUUAUAAAAUUUUCUUUUUAGUUCAAUGAAAAUUGUUAAUUGUCUGUGGGAAGAGUUUUAGACAUUAAUCCUGACCGGUAGAGGAGGUGAGAGUGAGCAUUGUUGAAGCAAUGUGUGUUACAGCAAACAUCUCUGUGUCUCUAGGGCCAUCAAUAAAUUUAAAUUAGGAAGCAAAACAAUGUAAAUGACUUCUACUAACAAGCACUUAAAAGAAUACAUCUUAUUCAUUCAACUUGGCUCUCUAAUGAGCAAUUUUAUAUUUUCUUAAGCACAGGUAAGAUUUACCACAGUUUUACAGACAUAGUAAAAUAAGCUAUAUUUGGCAAAAUAGAUGAAUAAAUUACCUUCGGGAAUACUUUACCUAAUGUAAGACUCUUAAGCAUUUCAUUAUUGAGAUUUUUGGUAGGGGAGUCACUUAAUUUGAAGAUUUUCUGGUAAGGGUUAGGAUGAUCGUUUUCUAAGUAUUCUGGACUAUUUAAGUUAUUUUAUGCAGUGCAACAUAGCGCCACCCUCCCAAUAGGUCUAUUUGUUUAUAAACCUUGUUUUGGAUCUACAGAUGUAGAUUUGAAUUUUAAUUUGGAUCUCCUUAAUCAAAUGUGUACUAUGUAAUUUAAAUGAAAUUAAAUAAUAAGCUAGUGACAAAAUUUGAAAUAUUUUGACAUCUAAUAUCUUUACCUUCCGAACGAUUUACUCUUUUUUUUUGAGAUGGAGUCUCACUUUGUCACCCAGGCUGGAGUGCAGUGGCACAACCUCGGCUCACUGCAACCUUUGCCUUCCAGGUUCAAGAUUCUCCUGCUUCAGCUUCCUGAGUAGCUGGGCCCAUAGACAUCUGCC